CCAAAUGCCCAUUUCCACUCUCUUUGCUCGCUUGGGUGAAUGUUAAUGUAACCAAAACUCCGACUAAUAUAACUAUUUUCAGGGCAUACGUAAUAGAUGACCCAAGGCAAAGGCAAUGGCUUCUUCGAAUAAGCAAGAUGGAGAUGAUGAUAGACCUGCAACCUCCGCUGCUUACCCAAUGCUUACGGAGUAUGGAUUUUGGAUUAAAGGCAUUGACCCUUACACUAGGAAAAGCACUGGCUGGUCCGCUAAAGGAACUCUUUGCUUUGGGCUCAACUCGAAAGUCGAGCUGGAGCAGGUUUGGUUUGAGCAAGUCUUUCU
This 321-nucleotide long non-coding RNA is filed under the name Jatropha curcas. Its description in RNAcentral is "long non-coding RNA (JCUR_LNC003038)". Lineage: Eukaryota; Viridiplantae; Streptophyta; Magnoliopsida; Malpighiales; Euphorbiaceae. The record is from RNAcentral.